AUUUGAUGGUGAAGGCAGCUUGUACAAAUAUUUUUGAACCUCUCCCAAUACUCAUAAAGGGUCUCCCCAAAUUGUUGCUUGAUGCCAGAAAUUUCCUGCCUUAUGGU
Vigna unguiculata (cowpea) is the source of this 107-nucleotide small nucleolar RNA. NCBI's taxonomy places the organism in Eukaryota, Viridiplantae, Streptophyta, Magnoliopsida, Fabales, Fabaceae. The record is from RefSeq and is a predicted model, not a curated record.